This 405-nucleotide ribosomal RNA is filed under the name uncultured bacterium. RNAcentral describes it as "bacterial SSU rRNA". It matches the Rfam family "Bacterial small subunit ribosomal RNA", at positions 355 to 775 of the family's 1533-position model. The record is from RNAcentral.
UGGGGAAUAUUGCACAAUGGGCGCAAGCCUGAUGCAGCGACGCCGCGUGGGGGAUGACGGCCUUCGGGUUGUAAACUCCUUUCGCCAAAGACGAAUUUGGACGGUAUUUGGAGAAGAAGCACCGGCUAACUACGUGCCAGCAGCCGCGGUAAUACGUAGGGUGCGAGCGUUGUCCGGAAUUACUGGGCGUAAAGAGCUCGUAGGUGGUUUGUCGCGUCGUUUGUGGAAUACCGGGGCUUAACUUCGGGGUUGCAUACGAUACGGGCAUAACUUGAGUGCUGUAGGGGAGACUGGAAUUCCUGGUGUAGCGGUGAAAUGCGCAGAUAUCAGGAGGAACACCGAUGGCGAAGGCAGGUCUCUGGGCAGUAACUGACGCUGAGGAGCGAAAGCAUGGGGAGCGAACAG